UCCCGCAGUGAGAACAACGGUUUGGAGCC
Molecule: non-coding RNA, 29 nt
Filed under: Homo sapiens (human)
Lineage: Eukaryota; Metazoa; Chordata; Mammalia; Primates; Hominidae
Source: RNAcentral